GUCUCGGUAGUUCAGUUGGUAGAGCGGCGGGUUAGUAUCCCGGAGUCGCAAGUUCGAGUCUCGUCCGAGACA
Cydia fagiglandana is the source of this 72-nucleotide non-coding RNA. Lineage: Eukaryota; Metazoa; Arthropoda; Insecta; Lepidoptera; Tortricidae. The record is from the annotation of a RefSeq genome assembly.